RNAcentral lists this ribosomal RNA (312 nucleotides) under Triticum aestivum (bread wheat). RNAcentral describes it as "partial small subunit ribosomal RNA". The record is from RNAcentral. Lineage: Eukaryota; Viridiplantae; Streptophyta; Magnoliopsida; Poales; Poaceae.
AUGGCUGCCAAACAAAAGAAGUCUGUUGUGACACAAACUGAAGCACUAAGGCAGGAAGAACCUCGCAUUAUCUUCCCUGCCAGCAUGACAGGCUCGAAGCCUAAGGUCGCCUCAGCAACUUCAGAGCUGAAGAAGACAAGGGCAGUUGAAGCCGAAGCCAAGAAGUGCAAGCACAAGGAUGCUUCUGAUGAGGCCCCAUCAACGAAGAAGUUGAAGACAAAGUCUUCAAAGAAAGAGCGUGUUGCGGCCUCUCAGCCCCUCAUUGUUGAACCUAUCUCUGUCGCUCUUCCAGCCACCAACAACCAAGAAUGA